Molecule: long non-coding RNA, 1100 nt
Organism: Gallus gallus (chicken)
Lineage: Eukaryota; Metazoa; Chordata; Aves; Galliformes; Phasianidae
Source: Ensembl
AGUCUGUAGGACCCAGUUUCAAGAAUUACAGAAGCUGAGUAGACACAAGAGUCACAGGACAGUCUUUAUCCUACAGUAGGGAUCUUUCGGUUCCUCUACAGAGCAGUAAUCAGAACAACUCAGUUCUGAAGAGAUCAGUUACAGUUAGUUUUUUUGCUCUCUCAUUUCCUUUUUCAUAAGAGCAGUAGUACCAAAUAAAUGUGCUGGCCCAUAAUUCACAAGAACUCCCAACCUUACAUACAUUUCCAUAGCUAAAUUUUUCAAAACAAACUUUUGGUAUAAUUGCAGCCUUAUGCCUACCGUAUGUCUGUGGAUUUACCUGAUACAAAUAUUCACGUGAGAACUGUAAGCACAAGGUAGCCCCUCUCACUUCAGCACUACUCACUGUUCCCCAUGCUCUGGCAUGUGUGUGCUUCAGCCCCUCGCUGCUUCAGGAAUAUGUUUCCCUUGCUGAGAAGACUUUGGCAGUAACUAUCAUCAGGUAGGGAAUAAGCAAAUUCUGUAUGCUCUUACUGGCAAUUCUUGGCUUCCUUAUCAUGACGUGUCUAGUUUGCUCACUCCAGCUUCAAAGAAUCUUCUGAUUUCUCUGUGAAACCACAACAUUAUCCUUACGUGUGUUUAUCUCUGUGUGAAAUGUUUCAUGCAGUCACCAGAGAAGGAGAAACAAACUGGAGAAACAAACAUAGAAUUCCCACCUCCUCACACCAACCUCACCACUGGUAAUAUAGCACUUGUUUUCAGGGGAAACCUGAAACCAGUCAGAACUGCCAUUCUGCAGUUCUCCACACCUCUGAAAGCAUGGUGGAGUGUUUGUUUCGUUUGAGAUUCUUUCUGUUUCUACUUUUUUUUUCCACAGUAAUUCUUCAUAUCUUUUCUAGUCUAUUACCACAGUCCUCCAAUGAAAAGGCCCUAGCAGAAAUAUUUACUUAUUAGCAUUCUUUAGAAGAAAAGGGAUAAACAAAACACAAAUGCUCUCUUCUCAUAGGUAAGAAGAAACUAAUUACUUCCCACAUCCAUGAUGCAUUAUUUCAACUUCUGUUAACCACAGCACAUGUAUAAACACCAUUCAGCUAUCUAAAUUUUCUGUUUGAUGUACAGAA